Molecule: ribosomal RNA, 713 nt
Filed under: uncultured Staphylococcus sp.
Lineage: Bacteria; Bacillati; Bacillota; Bacilli; Caryophanales; Staphylococcaceae
Description: bacterial SSU rRNA
Rfam family: Bacterial small subunit ribosomal RNA
Source: RNAcentral
CGAGCGAACGGACGAGAAGCUUGCUUCUCUGAUGUUAGCGGCGGACGGGUGAGUAACACGUGGAUAACCUACCUAUAAGACUGGGAUAACUUCGGGAAACCGGAGCUAAUACCGGAUAAUAUUUUGAACCGCAUGGUUCAAAAGUAAAAGACGGUCUUGCUGUCACUUAUAGAUGGAUCCGCGCUGCAUUAGCUAGUUGGUAGGGUAACGGCUUACCAAGGCAACGAUGCAUAGCCGACCUGAGAGGGUGAUCGGCCACACUGGAACUGAGACACGGUCCAGACUCCUACGGGAGGCAGCAGUAGGGAAUCUUCCGCAAUGGGCGAAAGCCUGACGGAGCAACGCCGCGUGAGUGAUGAAGGUCUUCGGAUCGUAAAACUCUGUUAUUAGGGAAGAACAUAUGUGUAAGUAACUGUGCACAUCUUGACGGUACCUAAUCAGAAAGCCACGGCUAACUACGUGCCAGCAGCCGCGGUAAUACGUAGGUGGCAAGCGUUAUCCGGAAUUAUUGGGCGUAAAGCGCGCGUAGGCGGUUUUUUAAGUCUGAUGUGAAAGCCCACGGCUCAACCGUGGAGGGUCAUUGGAAACUGGAAAACUUGAGUGCAGAAGAGGAAAGUGGAAUUCCAUGUGUAGCGGUGAAAUGCGCAGAGAUAUGGAGGAACACCAGUGGCGAAGGCGACUUUCNUGGUCUGUAACUGACGCUGAUGUGCGAA